RNAcentral lists this long non-coding RNA (3247 nucleotides) under Gallus gallus (chicken). RNAcentral describes it as "partial pouMU1". Lineage: Eukaryota; Metazoa; Chordata; Aves; Galliformes; Phasianidae. The record is from RNAcentral.
GGUUUUAUUUACACUGCUAUUGCAUUAGGAGACUCACUCACCCUGUGCUGGGCAGCAUAACGCUCAAGGUGAAGUUUCUGCUCUGGCAAUACAAACUGCAGCCCUCACCCUGCACGGCUUCACUCCCAAACCUCAGAGGCAGUGGUGGGGGCAGCCUCCCACAGUCAGGGCAAUCCAGUGAGCAGAACACUGCUGCAGGGUUUCAUCAAAACACCCUCAGACUGCAGCGCACCCAAAGUGGGAGCCUUUUUAAGAGUGGUUUGCAUAGCACCUAACACCACAAGCCAAAGACUUGCCUUUGUGUAUAGGUACUUCCACAGUACAGCAGUAAAAAUAUAUUAUCUGGAGAACAAAUAUCAUUAGCAAUAGUCGUGUAUUCUUGGUUGGAAAUGCUUCCAGCCAAAAAGAAUGGUAAAUGUCAGUCCAGUAAAUGACUGCUUACAUUAAUGUAUACAAACAUAUAUGGGCUGUGUUGCCCAGUCCUCCUCAUUAGAAGAGGGGAAAAAAAUGGAAGAAAAAGGGAACAAUUGCACAGUCUACACAAGAGCCAAAUUAAACUUAAAAAAAAAUAAAAUAAAAAAGGAAAAAAAAAAACCCUAAAACUUUAAAAACAGCCUAAAGAAAAUGCAGGUGACUGUCCACAGGGUGACCUUGCCAUCUUCAAACCUCUGCAGCAAUUAAGUUAAAUGCCAUUUUUAGUUAUUUUUCUCCUGCUGAGUGCUGCUGUCUUCCUUCAUGAUAGAAGCCUUAGAACAUUUGUGGCUUAACCAGCACUACAAAAUCUGGAGCCGUUUGCUUGCCCUUUCCAGCCUGCCAGCUAGCUGAGGGCUGUGACGACAUGCCUGUGGGUUUGUCCGGCUGAAGCACCACCACAAGCCGCCUCCUGCCCUUUGCCCAGCUCUGGCCAGGGAUGUUCUACCCUCUUUUUAUUUCAAAGCAGCUCCUUGCCAGCUUCACACAAUAUUUAUUCUCCCUGCUUUGUUGUUUUCUUGCUGUUAAUGUUUCUGUUCUUCCCCAUAAAUGUACUUCUAGCUGAGAUGGAACUUAGGAGCAACAAGUUCUCCAUUUCCAACACAGUGAACAUUUUGCCAGAGUGUCAGAAUGUAAAAUCCCCUAUCACAUCACAAAAGUCUGUUUCCUACUGCUUCUCCUGGUGUCAGAGGGAUGACGUCAGGACUCUUCUCUCACACGCACUGAACUUUGUCAGCCUUCAAAGACGUUGCAUUAAGAAAAGACAAUAAAAUGGAACACCGUAGUGUUGGGAUCUGAUGCUUUGCCUGUAAAAGUGUCAGCUUGCAAGCAUAGGGUGAACUUGCUAUUUCUGCACUGUUUAAUUAGUCAUUUGACCCUUUAUAAUAACAUUUUAAUGUACCAGUGCAGAAUAGCACAGUGCAAAAUACAGUCCCCUCUUCUAUCAGCUUUAUGAAGAAGCACCUCUAUGGGGUGCCACCCUUUCUGCAGUCUAUCCUACAGAGACACCCUAUGCUAAAAGGCAGCAUUGCCACAACAUUGCAUAUUCUUGUCUUUUGUAUUUAUCACCAUACUUUCUACUCAUGAAGAAUAUAUUUUCGACUGCUGGCAUUUCUAGUUAGCGUUAAUGCAGACUAGUAAAAUAACUCACUCCAUCCACAUUGCAGGUAUUUAUAUUCUCCUUUUUCAUCCUGAAGUUUCUAAUCUGCCUCAUUUCUCUUUUACAGUUUUAAUCCCCUAUAAAAGCACGCAGUGUGAAAGAAGGAAUACCUUUAAUGCAGCUUUCCUACUGUUAAAUAGAUAUCUUAUUCCCCCUUUCAAACCAAAACAAGACAAUUAUUAAAGUGACAAAAUGACAGCAACAAGUAGACAAAGGGAAGCGUUAGAGGCAACCCAGACCUAUUGUCCCACAUGUGCCUUUCCUUCUGGUGUUCCCCUUAAAGGCCCUCAGGUUGAGGGCGAGCAGUUUUUCCUGGGUUUCCUUUCUCCCCCUUCUUUAAGAAGGCUUUGUUUUCACCAUAAAAUAUUCCUCGUAAAAAAAAAAAAGAAAAGAAGAAAAGAAAAGAAAACAAACAACCAUUACAUAUUCAAUGCAAAUGUUAUGUCAAAUUCUGACAAGUGCCACCUUGGUUUUCAUAUUUCUGGAGUUUGAACAGUUGUCCAUGGAACAGCUGCACUUCUGUAAGCCCAAGGCAGGUGGCCCAAGCUAGACGCUUGCCACUCAUAACCACAAUGCUGAAAAAUCUGACUAGCUCCUCAGUAGUCCAAAAAUGCUAGUGAGUUCCAGUUUCUUCUCCUUUUACUUUUCUGCAAUGUAAGAAUCCAGUUCAAAACUGCUAAAUAGUUUUUCCCAUGUUGAAAUCAAGAAAUAAUUUUCACUGCCAUAAAAAAAUAUUCACACCACUGAAAUAACCACGAUUUCCUCUGUCCCUUGUAAAAAGGCCAGUGGUUUUGCAUCACCAUUCGUGACGUCAUUUGACUCUUUUAAAACAGUCCAACUGCAGUUCUGGCUGUGGAGUUUGCUUAAAUAGUUCAUGGUCUUUGGCUCUCCUCUCUCAACAGAAGGGUUUUCCUCUCCAAAAUAAGUCUAAAGGAUCAUCCUUGCAAAGCCAGGUUGUUUUAAGUCCCGUUGUCUGUCCCCAAGCUGCAGGGCCAUGGUUGGCUUGGAAAAGGGCAAGGGGGUCUGGGAGGCUCUGAGUCAACUCGUCAGCUCAGAAGGGGUCCACCACAGAAGGAGUAACGCCGAGCCCGCCAGGAGCCGGCGUUCCGCGCCGCCUUGGCGCUGCCGAGCGAGAAGCUGCUGGGCUGGCUGAGCGCCCGGCUGAAGUGCUCGUCCACCACGGCGCUGAUGUCCCCCUGGAAGUAGGUGAAGAGGACGCACCGGGAGCUGAUGUACUCAGCCUCGGGGGGCCUCUCCUUCUCGGGGCUGCACUCCUCCUCCUUGAUGCUGGCGGCGGCGUGGCUGGAGAAGGAGCUGCUGGCGCCGGCGCUGCUGCCGCUCUCCGGGGCUUCUUGCAUUUUGGAGUACAAGGCGAGUUUCUGCGGGUAAGGGCUGUAGGCUGCGGCGAAGUACGGCUUGGGGGGACCAUACACUUGGUACAUAACAUCCAGACAGCUCAUGGCUGUCCGCGGCCGCUAAUUCGUUUUUCGGUCAUCAACUCGCGUUCUGCAGAGCGGAGCAGUGCUCGGCGGGAGGGAGGAUCCCGGGGGUUAAGAGGCACGGCUCACUGUGGGAGGAGUGAUUGAGGGGUGAGACCGCGCCGCGCUGAGGUCCCCC